CACGCGCGGGAUCCGGCGAUCACCCAGGCCUCAUGAGCCCGGGGUGCCUGGUUCGACACCAGGACGCGCGACCA
This 74-nucleotide transfer RNA is filed under the name Lentzea sp. NBRC 102530. Its description in RNAcentral is "tRNA-Met". The record is from RNAcentral. Lineage: Bacteria; Bacillati; Actinomycetota; Actinomycetes; Pseudonocardiales; Pseudonocardiaceae.